This 469-nucleotide ribosomal RNA is filed under the name uncultured bacterium. RNAcentral describes it as "partial 16S ribosomal RNA". It matches the Rfam family "Bacterial small subunit ribosomal RNA", at positions 28 to 507 of the family's 1533-position model. The record is from RNAcentral.
GAUGAACGCUGGCGGCGUGCUUAACACAUGCAAGUCGAACGGUGAAGCUCCAGCUUGCUGGAGUGGAUCAGUGGCGAACGGGUGAGUAACACGUGAGCAACCUGCCCCUGACUCUGGGAUAACAGCCGGAAACGGCUGCUAAUACCGGAUAUGCACCAUGAACGCAUGUUCUGCGGUGGGAAAGAUUUUUCAGUUGGGGAUGGGCUCGCGGCCUAUCAGCUUGUUGGUGAGGUAAUGGCUCACCAAGGCGUCGACGGGUAGCCGGCCUGAGAGGGUGACCGGCCACACUGGGACUGAGACACGGCCCAGACUCCUACGGGAGGCAGCAGUGGGGAAUAUUGCACAAUGGGCGAGAGCCUGAUGCAGCAACGCCGCGUGAGGGAUGACGGCCUUCGGGUUGUAAACCUCUUUUAGCAGGGAAGAAGCGAGAGUGACGGUACCUGCAGAAAAAGCGCCGGCUAACUACGUG